Long non-coding RNA from Anolis carolinensis (green anole), 2061 nucleotides. Lineage: Eukaryota; Metazoa; Chordata; Lepidosauria; Squamata; Anolidae. The record is from Ensembl.
AUGCUCCUAGGCGGCGUAUUUAGCCCACUGCCGUUAAGGGCUGCUGAAAGUCCUCAAAGUUUUACUUGUUGCGUUUCUCCAGUUUCAAAGUUUGCUGUUAUUAGUUCUUCUUUUGGAAUGAGAAGGCCUCUCCCCAAUUCGCUUGCCAAGCCGAAAGCUUCAGCUCAGGCCCAACCCAAUUUUAAGGACCGUCUGGCUCCUUUUGUGGAUUCUUGGCGCCAAAUCACAACUGACAAAUGGGUCUUGGAUAUCAUUGAGAGAGGCUAUGCUAUUGAGUUUGUCACCCCGCCCCCAACGGGGCAAGUUAGAGGAAUGGCCUCCUCAGACCCAUUAUUGGAAGAAAUUCGAGCUCUCCAAACCAAGGGCGCUAUUCAACGACUGCGCGGCCCAAUCUUACAAAAAUGUUUCUUUUCACGUUAUUUUUUAGUUCCGAAAAAGGAUGGUGGUUUACGCCCCUUCCUGGACCUUCGGGAUGUCAACGCUUAUAUCAGACCCCGAAAGUUUCGCAUGGUCACCCUCCCGGUGAUCCUGUCUCUCAUUCGGAAAGGCGCUUGGUUCGCAACGGUGGAUUUGAAAGACGCCUAUUUCCACAUUGGGAUCAGGCCUUCUCAUCGCAGAUACCUUAGUUUUAAAGUUGGUCACCGUUGUUUUUGUUUCAACGUUCUCCCAUUUGGGUUGUCAACCGCCCCAAGAGUUUUUACGAAGUGUAUGGCCGUAGUUGCCACCUUCCUCCGCCAACAGGAAGUGAUAGUCUUUCCCUAUAUUGACGACUGGCUUCUGGUGGCAGAUUCCAGAGCCAGGUUGCUUGCCGAUAUUGACUUUACGCUAUCUCUCCUGCAGGAUCUCGGCUUAGUGGUCAACAGGGAAAAAUCGUGCCUGUCCCCAUCCCAAUCGGUCCACUUUAUUGGGGCCCUUAUCGAUUCCAUCCGUCAAAAAGCCUUCUUGCCCGACGACCGCUUUAUCGCCUUAAGGUCGCUGGUCCUCGAGACGUUAAGCGCCCACCGCGUGCGGGCCAGGACUAUUCAAUCCCUCCUGGGGCACAUGGCUUCUACGACGGCCGUCACACCAUUCGCCAGAUUACGCAUGCGCCCGUUGCAGAUGUGGUUUUUGUCGGUUUUCGACGCCCUUCACGACGAUCCAAAGGUCAUGCUCUCCCUGCCCACCGAAGUUCGCAAAUCCCUUCAAUGGUGGACUCAUCGACUCAAUGUGCAGAAGGGUAUGCCAUUUCGCCAACCAAAACCAUCAGCAACACUAACCACGGAUUCGUCCCUUCUGGGAUGGGGCGCCCACUUGGACACCCUCACAGUUCGGGGAACUUGGUCCCCGACAGAGAAAAGCCAUCACAUCAACUUUCUGGAGAUGCUAGCGGUCCAGAAGGCCCUCAGGGCUUUCGAGUUCCCACUUUCGGGGCGUGUUGUCCGUCUACUGACAGACAACACCACGACAAAGUUUUACAUCAACAAACAAGGGGGAACUCGGUCCCGCAAGCUGAUAAACCUAACCUUACAGAUCUGGGAUUGGUGCAUCACCAGGGGGAUACAUCUGGUGGCACUUUAUCUCCCCGGAAAGGACAACGAGCUAGCAGACGAGUUGAGCAGGACUCCCAGCUCCUGCCACGAAUGGCGGAUCCACCCGCAGAUACUAGACUCAGUCUUCGCAGCAUGGGGCCAACCGGCGGUGGACCUAUUCGCCUCCCCCAAGAACCGCCACUGCGAUCUAUUCUGCGCAAGAUGCCCUCCAAACACCCAGUCGGGAUGUCUGGGCGACGCGUUUCUUUACACCUGGGAACCCGGGUUGCUUUACGCGUACCCACCAAUCCCUCUGAUAACGAGAGUCGUAUCGAAACUACUUCAAGACAACGCGGAUUGUAUUCUUCUAACACCGUGGUGGCCUCGGCAACCGUGGUUCGGGCCACUUCUCCAAGCAUCUCAAGGAAUAUUCCAUCACCUACCCUUCAGGCCAGACGUCCUGACAACCCACAACGGCCUUGUCCGUCACCCGGACGCUCGCUCUCUGCGCCUCACGGCAUGGAGGAUACGGCCUUGCUCUCAGCCCCUGUGA